Molecule: ribosomal RNA, 647 nt
Filed under: uncultured bacterium
Lineage: Bacteria
Description: bacterial SSU rRNA
Rfam family: Bacterial small subunit ribosomal RNA
Source: RNAcentral
ACGGGUGCGUAACGCGUAUCAAACCUGCCUCAUACUCGGGGAUAGCCUUGCGAAAGUAAGAUUAAUACCCGAUGUUGUUAUGUUACCGCAUGGUGAUAUAACCAAAGAUUUAUCGGUAUGAGAUGGUGAUGCGUCCGAUUAGGUAGUAGGCGGGGUAACGGUCCACCUAGCCUUCGAUCGGUAGGGGUUCUGAGAGGAAGGCCCCCCACACUGGAACUGAGACACGGUCCAGACUCCUACGGGAGGCAGCAGUGAGGAAUAUUGGUCAAUGGACGAAAGUCUGAACCAGCCAAGUAGCGUGCAGGAUGACGGCCCUCUGGGUUGUAAACUGCUUUUAGUUGGGAAUAAAAAAGAGGACGUGUCCUCUAUUGUAUGUACCUUCAGAAAAAGGACCGGCUAAUUCCGUGCCAGCAGCCGCGGUAAUACGGAAGGUCCAGGCGUUAUCCGGAUUUAUUGGGUUUAAAGGGAGCGUAGGCGGAUUAUUAAGUCAGUGGUGAAAGACGGUGGCUCAACCAUCGUUAGCCAUUGAAACUGGUAGUCUUGAGUGCAGACAGGGAUGCUGGAACUCGUGGUGUAGCGGUGAAAUGCUUAGAUAUCACGAUGAACUCCGAUCGCGAAGGCAGGUGUCCGGGCUGCAACUGACGCUG